Molecule: small nuclear RNA, 103 nt
Filed under: Chinchilla lanigera (long-tailed chinchilla)
Lineage: Eukaryota; Metazoa; Chordata; Mammalia; Rodentia; Chinchillidae
Source: RNAcentral
GUGCUCACUUCAGCAGCACAGAUACUAAAGUUGGAACAGUACAGAGAUUAGCAUGGCCCUGCAUAAAGAUGACACACAAAUUUGUGAAGUGCUCCAUAUUUUU